Molecule: long non-coding RNA, 692 nt
Filed under: Sus scrofa (pig)
Lineage: Eukaryota; Metazoa; Chordata; Mammalia; Artiodactyla; Suidae
Description: lncRNA (ENSSSCG00070023201.1)
Source: RNAcentral
UUUUGCAAGAUACAUGGAGAACUUAGAGACUGCGUUCCAGACACUUGAAGCCACUAAGUAGGGCUGGGAGUGGAUCUGAAAACAGGAGUGCUAGUUGGCAGCUGGCAUGUGUCUUCUGAAGGGAAGACCAGAGGGGAAGCAUGAACCCACCAGUCUCUCUUUCAGGAAGCUGCUGGUGAAUCAACACUGAGAAUGCCACCUCCAGAAACUGAGAAGAUCCUGGUUCUCCCAUUCUGAAGAUGGUAAUAAAGAUACUCCAGACAACAGAAAAUACCGUGUCUAUUUGUCUGAUAUAGUGUUCAUUUGUCUGUUGUUUCCAACAACUGCAAGCUUUUUUUUUUUUAGGGUUGCACCUGUGGCAUAUGGAAGUUCCCAGGCUAGGGGUCGAAUCAGAGCUACAGCUGCCGGCCUGCACCACAGCCACAGAAACACCAGAUCCAAGCCGAAUCUGUGACCUAUACCACAGCUCGUGGCAACACUGAAUCCUUAACCCACUGAGCGAGGCCAGGGAUGGAGCCCACAUCCUCAUAGAUCCUAGUUGAGUUUGAUUCUGCUGAUCCACAAUGGAAACUCCUGCAAGUCUGUUUUUUAAAUAAUUUACAUAUGGUUCUAUAGAGUAUAAAUGAAAGGCCAAUGCUCCAUGGAAAUUAAAAGGGAAUAAAGAGGGAUAUACUGGUGUAGUUGCCUGACUG